This 277-nucleotide long non-coding RNA is filed under the name Elaeis guineensis (African oil palm). RNAcentral describes it as "long non-coding RNA (EGUI_LNC030194)". The record is from RNAcentral. Lineage: Eukaryota; Viridiplantae; Streptophyta; Magnoliopsida; Arecales; Arecaceae.
UUUUACUGCAUAUGAUCCUUGUACAUGUCAUAAUUCUUGAGAUUAAGAAUUAUAUAUGCAAGUGCUAAAUGUAUUGGGGGAAGAUAUCAAGGUGAAGUACAUUCGUUGAAGGAGCCAGAGAAGAAGUUGCCAGAGGGCCACUAGCAUUGAGAGGAUGCUAAUUAGGCUGGGAAGGGGUAAGCAUUAGGGAGAAGGAUAGGGCCUGUAAGGGGUCAAGGUCACGUACCCCUCCCUUUUCUUUUCACUAGAUGCUUACCAGAUAGGAACUGUCGGGGGA